RNAcentral lists this ribosomal RNA (497 nucleotides) under uncultured bacterium. Its description in RNAcentral is "partial 16S ribosomal RNA". It matches the Rfam family "Bacterial small subunit ribosomal RNA", at positions 28 to 507 of the family's 1533-position model. The record is from RNAcentral.
GAUGAACGCUGGCGGCGUGCCUAAUACAUGCAAGUCGAGCGAACAGACGAGGAGCUUGCUCCUCUGACGUUAGCGGCGGACGGGUGAGUAACACGUGGAUAACCUACCUAUAAGACUGGGAUAACUUCGGGAAACCGGAGCUAAUACCGGAUAAUAUAUUGAACCGCAUGGUUCAAUAGUGAAAGACGGUUUUGCUGUCACUUAUAGAUGGAUCCGCGCCGCAUUAGCUAGUUGGUAAGGUAACGGCUUACCAAGGCAACGAUGCGUAGCCGACCUGAGAGGGUGAUCGGCCACACUGGAACUGAGACACGGUCCAGACUCCUACGGGAGGCAGCAGUAGGGAAUCUUCCGCGAUGGGCGAAAGCAUGACGGAGCAACGCCGCGUGAGUGAUGAAGGUCUUCGGUUCGUAAAACUCUGUUAUUAGGGAAGAACAAAUGUGUAAGUAACUAGGCACGUCUUGACGGUACCUAAUCAGAAAGCCACGGCUAACUACGUG